This is a non-coding RNA of Pelobates cultripes (western spadefoot toad), 286 nucleotides long. The record is from the annotation of a GenBank genome assembly. NCBI's taxonomy places the organism in Eukaryota, Metazoa, Chordata, Amphibia, Anura, Pelobatidae.
CUCAAACCAAGUCAUUUAUAUGAUUACUUGCCCUUGCGGAUUAGCGUAUAUAGGUAGAACUAUUAGGACACUUAAUACAAGAGCAUAUAAGAAACAUUAAAAAAGGGUUUGAAAAACAGUGUUUCGCUGUAUUUUAAAGAACACAAUUGCGAUCCCCACCUAAUGAAUUUUAUAGGAAUUCAAAAAAAUUGUGAAUUGGAGAGGUGGAGACCUGUUGAAACAUAUAGGACAAACAGAGAUGCGAUGGAAUUUUAAUUUGAACACUAUGCAACCAUAUGGACUUAAU